This 492-nucleotide ribosomal RNA is filed under the name uncultured bacterium. RNAcentral's name for it is "partial 16S ribosomal RNA". It matches the Rfam family "Bacterial small subunit ribosomal RNA", at positions 29 to 507 of the family's 1533-position model. The record is from RNAcentral.
AGUGAACGCUGGCGGUAGGCCUAACACAUGCAAGUCGAACGGCAGCACAGUAAGAGCUUGCUCUUACGGGUGGCGAGUGGCGGACGGGUGAGGAAUACAUCGGAAUCUACUUUUUCGUGGGGGAUAACGUAGGGAAACUUACGCUAAUACCGCAUACGACCUACGGGUGAAAGCAGGGGAUCUUCGGACCUUGCGCGAUUGAAUGAGCCGAUGUCGGAUUAGCUAGUUGGCGGGGUAAAGGCCCACCAAGGCGACGAUCCGUAGCUGGUCUGAGAGGAUGAUCAGCCACACUGGAACUGAGACACGGUCCAGACUCCUACGGGAGGCAGCAGUGGGGAAUAUUGGACAAUGGGCGCAAGCCUGAUCCAGCCAUACUGCGUGGGUGAAGAAGGCCUUCGGGUUGUAAAGCCCUAUUGUUGGGAAAGAAAAGCAGCAGGUUAAUACCCCGCUGUUCUGACGGUACCCAAAGAAUAAGCACCGGCUAACUUCGUG